This 99-nucleotide microRNA precursor is filed under the name Macacine gammaherpesvirus 4 (Rhesus lymphocryptovirus). RNAcentral describes it as "microRNA rlcv-mir-rL1 precursor (rlcv-mir-rL1-30)". Its record names the gene rlcv-mir-rL1-30. The record is from miRBase by way of RNAcentral. Lineage: Duplodnaviria; Heunggongvirae; Peploviricota; Herviviricetes; Herpesvirales; Orthoherpesviridae.
CAGGAAGCCCGUGUCCUGGCACCGGUCCUUUGAGGUACGAAACAUUGUGAGUUUGUUUCGUUUUCGAAGGUCGGCUGUCAGUGCAUGUGGAGAUUUUCG